Molecule: ribosomal RNA, 253 nt
Filed under: uncultured bacterium
Lineage: Bacteria
Description: partial 16S ribosomal RNA
Rfam family: Bacterial small subunit ribosomal RNA
Source: RNAcentral
UACGUAGGGGGCAAGCGUUGUCCGGAAUCAUUGGGCGUAAAGGGCGUGUAGGCGGUUUGUUAAGUCAUGUGUGAAAGCCCCCGGCUCAACCGGGGAACGACGCAUGAAACUGGCAAGCUAGAGUACCGAAGAGGGGGGUGGAAUUCCCGGUGUAGCGGUGGAAUGCGCAGAUAUCAGGAGGAACACCCAUAGCGAAGGCAGCUUGCUGGGACGUUACUGACGCUAAGGCGCGAAAGCGUGGGGAGCGAACAGG